GAUCAUUACUGAUUUGCUUAAUUGCACCACAUGUGUUUUUUAUUGAACAAAUUUCUUUGGUGGCGGGAGCAAUCCUACCGCCAGAGGUUAUAACUAAACCAAACUUUUUAUUUACAGUCAAACUUGAUUUAUUAUUACAAUAGUCAAAACUUUCAACAACGGAUCUCUUGGUUCUCGCAUCGAUGAAGAACGCAGCGAAAUGCGAUACGUAAUAUGAAUUGCAGAUAUUCGUGAAUCAUCGAAUCUUUGAACGCACAUUGCGCCCUUUGGUAUUCCAAAGGGCAUGCCUGUUUGAGCGUCAUUUCUCCCUCAAACCCCCGGGUUUGGUGUUGAGCAAUACGCUAGGUUUGUUUGAAAGAAUUUAACGUGGAAACUUAUUUUAAGCGACUUAGGUUUAUCCAAAACGCUUAUUUUGCUAGUGGCCACCACAAUUUAUUUCAUAACUUUGACCUCA
This 454-nucleotide unclassified non-coding RNA is filed under the name Candida tropicalis. RNAcentral describes it as "sequence contains 18S rRNA gene, ITS1, 5.8S rRNA gene, ITS2, 28S rRNA gene". The stretch from base 148 to 301 matches the Rfam family "5.8S ribosomal RNA". The record is from RNAcentral. Lineage: Eukaryota; Fungi; Ascomycota; Pichiomycetes; Serinales; Debaryomycetaceae.